Molecule: long non-coding RNA, 563 nt
Organism: Acanthochromis polyacanthus (spiny chromis)
Lineage: Eukaryota; Metazoa; Chordata; Actinopteri; Pomacentridae
Exons: 4
Source: RefSeq, a predicted model, not a curated record
GUCCCUCGGUCUGUCGGCGGACUGUGGGCCCGAAAAUACUGAGGAACAAACACAUCACAGUUAAGAUACCUGGACACUGGAGGACAGGUGAGCUACUGCAGGACAGGUGAGCUACUGGAGGACAGGUGAGCUACUGGAGGACAGGUGAGCUACUGGAGGACAGGUGAGCUACUGGAGGACAGGUGAGCUACUGGAGGACAGGUGAGCUACUGCAGGACAGGUGAGCUACUGGAGGACAGGUGAGCUACUGGAGGACAGGUGAGCUACUGCAGGACAGGUGAGCUACUGGAGGACAGGUGAGCUACUGGAGGACAGGUGAGCUACUGGAGGACAGGUGAGCUACUGCAGGACAGGUGAGCUACUGCAGGACAGGUGAGCUACUGCAGGACAGGUGAGCUACUGGAGGACAGGUGAGCUACUGGAGGACAGGUGAGCUACUGGAGGACAGGUGAGCUACUGCAGGACAGGUGAGCUACUGCAGUAGAAUUAGACCUACCUUGAACGUUGGGUAGAACUUGAUGCUGAAGUCUUUACAGACGUCAAAGUUUUCCUCCUGAGCACAG